RNAcentral lists this ribosomal RNA (253 nucleotides) under uncultured bacterium. RNAcentral's name for it is "partial 16S ribosomal RNA". It matches the Rfam family "Bacterial small subunit ribosomal RNA", at positions 524 to 776 of the family's 1533-position model. The record is from RNAcentral.
UACAGGGGGUGCAAACGUUGCUCGGAAUUAUUGGGCGUAAAGCGCGCGUAGGCGGCUACUUAAGUCGGAUGUGAAAGCCCUGGGCUCAACCUGGGAAUUGCAGUGGAUACUGGAUCACUAGAGUGUGGUAGAGGAUAGUGGAAUUUCCGGUGUAGCAGUGAAAUGCGUAGAGAUCGGAAGGAACAUCUGUGGCGAAGGCGACUAUCUGGGCCAACACUGACACUGAGGCACGAAAGCGUGGGGAGCAAACAGG